This is a long non-coding RNA of Etheostoma cragini (Arkansas darter), 137 nucleotides long. RefSeq lists it as uncharacterized. The record is from RefSeq and is a predicted model, not a curated record. NCBI's taxonomy places the organism in Eukaryota, Metazoa, Chordata, Actinopteri, Perciformes, Percidae. The transcript is spliced from 4 exons.
UCCACAUAACUAACACAGGAGAAGGGUUGGGUACCAAAACCUGGUGCUAAUACAGCACCGGUGCCUAAACGGACGGUAUCUACCGGACCAAAUCCCAAAGCAGAUUUCGGUGCCUCAUUUGGGGGCCAGAUCAAUAC